GAUGAACGCUGGCGGCGUGCCUAAUACAUGCAAGUCGAGCGAACAGACGAGGAGCUUGCUCCUCUGACGUUAGCGGCGGACGGGUGAGUAACACGUGGAUAACCUACCUAUAAGACUGGGAUAACUUCGGGAAACCGGAGCUAAUACCGGAUAACAUGUUGAACCGCAUGGUUCAACAGUGAAAGACGGUCUUGCUGUCGCUUAUAGAUGGAUCCGCGCCGCAUUGGCUAGUUGGUAAGGUAACGGGUUACCAAGGCAACGAUGCGUAGCCGACCUGAGAGGGUGAUCGGCCACACUGGAGCGGAGACACGGUCCAGACUCCUGCGGGAGGCAGCAGUAGGGAAUCUUCGGCAAUGGGCGAAAGCCUGACGGAGCAACGCCGCGUGAGUGAAGAAGGUCUUCGGAGCGUAAAACUCUGUUAUUAGGGAAGAACAAAUGUGUAAGUAACUAUGCACGUCUUGACGGUACCUAAUCAGAAAGCCACGGCUAACUACGUG
This 497-nucleotide ribosomal RNA is filed under the name uncultured bacterium. Its description in RNAcentral is "partial 16S ribosomal RNA". It matches the Rfam family "Bacterial small subunit ribosomal RNA", at positions 28 to 507 of the family's 1533-position model. The record is from RNAcentral.